Daphnia magna is the source of this 337-nucleotide long non-coding RNA. RefSeq lists it as uncharacterized. NCBI's taxonomy places the organism in Eukaryota, Metazoa, Arthropoda, Branchiopoda, Diplostraca, Daphniidae. The transcript is spliced from 3 exons. The record is from RefSeq and is a predicted model, not a curated record.
UCCCAUCCUCUUUUCAAAGAUGUCAUUUUCUGUGUCUUCUCCUGAUUUCCCAGUGCUAUACUGACAUCUCGAUUAAUUGACACAGCUCUGACUAGAAUUGUAUAGCCCUGACUAGAAUUGUAUAAAAGAAAACGUGACUAGAAGUUGACUAGCACUGAGGUCUGACUAGAGUUGAGGUCUUGACAGACGGAACCUUAAGCAAGUUGCUGUGAUAACGGUUCUUGCCCCUCCUGACCUGGUGUUCACCCACUGUGUUUAGUGGCCCAGUUGUAUCGUAAUCUUUAUUCCUCAUCCAAGCUAGCUCUGCUAGGUAAUUAUUCAUUGUUACGUGUUGCUU